UAUAUAGAUAUAGAAAGAUGUGGUGUGAGUGCCAAUGAGACAACUCUCCAUCCAAAUAACCAUUAUAGUUCAAUGUAAUGUAAACCUUAAUAGGUCAAUGUAUGGCCUUCAACAUGGAGCCUUGGCUCACACCGAGCAACAAGCUAUAAAGAGCCCAAAAAAUUACUAGUGUAAAACCAUACAAACGGGAAAACCAAGGGUCUAAUCUAUAUAAAAUAAAAAAAACGAGAAACACAUAUAAAUUACAUGAACAAACGACAACUACUGUACAUCAGAUUCCUGACUUAGGACAGGUGGAAACAUUUGCAGCGGG
Molecule: long non-coding RNA, 313 nt
Filed under: Mytilus galloprovincialis (Mediterranean mussel)
Lineage: Eukaryota; Metazoa; Mollusca; Bivalvia; Mytilida; Mytilidae
Source: RNAcentral